This 438-nucleotide ribosomal RNA is filed under the name Triticum aestivum (bread wheat). Its description in RNAcentral is "partial small subunit ribosomal RNA". The record is from RNAcentral. Lineage: Eukaryota; Viridiplantae; Streptophyta; Magnoliopsida; Poales; Poaceae.
AUGCUGUUGCUGGUGGAGUUGGAGCACGCCGGCGCUCCGGCCGCCCUCUUCCUCCCUGUUCGCUCCCAUCCCUCCUACUACAGCCAGGGCUGUAGCCGCCCUCUUCUCUCCUCGUACCCCUCUUCCUCCCUGUUCCUUCCCACCCCUUCUCCCGCAGGCUCCAGCUGUGGUGGUGGGGGUGAGCAGCUGCCGUCCGGUGGCCUGGGGAGUGAGGAGGGCGCCGUUCUAAAGCACGAGAGCUCGGUGCAUGGCGACAGUAUAGAUCGGCUACAGCGGCGGCGACGGCCCAACGACGAAAGGGGAUGGCUGCAUGAUGAUCUUGUUCUGAUCAAUUCUGAAAUAGGAAUGGAGGACUACUAUGGGUCGCUGUUGAGGAUGCUGGGUUACCUGACAGUAGUUUACUUGCCAGAUUUUAAAUUGGAGCUUAGCAUGAACUGA